Molecule: ribosomal RNA, 572 nt
Filed under: uncultured bacterium
Lineage: Bacteria
Description: partial 16S ribosomal RNA
Rfam family: Bacterial small subunit ribosomal RNA
Source: RNAcentral
UGGGGAAUUUUGGACAAUGGGCGAAAGCCUGAUCCAGCAAUGCCGCGUGUGUGAAGAAGGCCUUCGGGUUGUAAAGCACUUUUGUCCGGAAAGAAAUCCUCUGGGUUAAUACCUCGGGGGGAUGACGGUACCGGAAGAAUAAGCACCGGCUAACUACGUGCCAGCAGCCGCGGUAAUACGUAGGGUGCAAGCGUUAAUCGGAAUUACUGGGCGUAAAGCGUGCGCAGGCGGUUUGCUAAGACCGAUGUGAAAUCCCCGGGCUCAACCUGGGAACUGCAUUGGUGACUGGCAGGCUAGAGUAUGGCAGAGGGGGGUAGAAUUCCACGUGUAGCAGUGAAAUGCGUAGAGAUGUGGAGGAAUACCGAUGGCGAAGGCAGCCCCCUGGGCCAAUACUGACGCUCAUGCACGAAAGCGUGGGGAGCAAACAGGAUUAGAUACCCUGGUAGUCCACGCCCUAAAACGAUGUCAACUAGUUGUUGGGGAUUCAUUUCCUUAGUAACGUAGCUAACGCGUGAAGUUGACCGCCUGGGGAGUACGGUCGCAAGAUUAAAACUUAAAUGAAUUGACGGGGU